GUGCCAUUUGGGACAGGGCAAUACACUUGGGGCACCAAUUUAUUUUUAUUUUUUUUUACCAAUACUACUUCAAUACUAUGAAUUCAAAAUAUUAUGAAAAAGCGAUCGUCCCACAAAAAUAUAACUAUUUUAUUUCUCUCCCGACUCACCCCUGACGCAUGAUCAACAUUUCCCCGCACAGCCGCACUUACAAAUGCAUCCGUUACCGGAUUGUGAUAGAUGUACACUAAUAAAUUAUCACUGUAUCAAAAAGACCGAAGCCCUCUGGUGCCCAGGGAAGAAUAAAAAAGAAAAGAAGAAGAAGAAAAAACGGGACAAAGACAGAGGCUUUAAGAAACAUACUGUAGAAGGCCAGCACACGCCUAUGGAAACCCUAACGAAAUUGCAGUCCAAAGAGGCUGAAGGGGUCAGCAGACUCCCUGGGCAAAGGUUGUCAUGGGAACGACCCCUGGAUCCUUCAGUCUGCUAUUUCGUGGCCCCCGUUCAUCUUGAGGCAGAAUGAUCCAGAUUCUUAUACUGCUGAGAUGUUUCCCUCCAUCCUCCCCACAACCACCAGGAUGGCCCCGUACAUGCGGGGGUAUGCUCCGCCCUGCCUUUGUCUUCGGCAGGAAUAACUGGAAUCUACAACGUCUGAUUAAAGCUACAGAUGGGGUCUACGGCAAAAUGAUUCUGUUCUUUGUAUUGGUUUUGUAAAUAAAUACUUUUGCGUUUUAUCUUCACCUCCUGAGUCUUUCUGGUAGAACAUUGAUUCUGAACUUAAAAUGUGGGAUUUUGCAUAUGUGUGUCAUGGCUGAAAAUAAUUGAUUUAAAGUUGAUUUUUGAGGCAUGAUACAUGAGUACUUAAGAUGAUUUUUUUUCUCCAUGAAGUGUUUUUUUUUCUUCUUAAAUCCAGCUUGAAUAAAUAAUAAUAUUAUUUACUGUUGCCAAAAGUUUAAUUAUUUAUUGAAGAUAUUUAUUAAAGAAACCUAUCUUUUAGACUACAUCUGACAAACUAGAAAGUCAAGAAUGCAAUUGAAGAGAGAAGUGUAACUCCUCACCCCUAGGUGGCACUGUUGAAGCAAUUUGCACCUUUAUUUUUUCAGAGGCGUCAAGGUUACACAUUACUUAUUUGAACAGAUUCCGUUUAUGAGUAAUGUGUUAAUCCUUUGGGCCCAACUUUCAG
Cyprinus carpio carpio is the source of this 1162-nucleotide long non-coding RNA. The record is from Ensembl. NCBI's taxonomy places the organism in Eukaryota, Metazoa, Chordata, Actinopteri, Cypriniformes, Cyprinidae.